UGUCACUUUAAAGUUUACUUCCGUUGCACUGACCUUGCUAGUGAAAAUGUUUGGAGUCACACGACCAGCGUUGAGUCUUUUAAGACCUGUUGCACAACAAACAAACCUUCUUCAAAAGGCCAACUUUACUUAUGGGGUACCCAAAGUACGAAUGAAUAAACACAUGAAGUAUGCUCACGGUGUUCUUUUGACGGCGAUAGUGCUUGGGCCAAUGCUCUGGAUGUGUGCAAACUUCGAGAAUUACAGGAACCCCAAGAAAUAGAGGCUCUUUGGCAGUGUGAAUUUAUGGCAACUUUCAACAUGUUUUUGACUAACUUUUGUAAAAUUUGAUUAUUAUAUCAACAAGAAAUGCUGGGCAGUUUACAUCAGUGCUGGAACUAUGUGGCUUUAUAACUUCAGGACAUAAUUUUUUACCAUAUUUACAAUAUCUGAGUUAUUAACAACUUUACAUACAGUAAAAGUUUUAUUAGUUUACAUGGAGUGUUUUGUAUUAAUCAAUAAUCAUGUUGGUAAUAUUUAUGUAUAGAAAUGUUUUAAGAAAUAACGGAUUUGAUAAAUUGGAAAAUGUU
Molecule: long non-coding RNA, 569 nt
Organism: Mya arenaria
Lineage: Eukaryota; Metazoa; Mollusca; Bivalvia; Myida; Myidae
Exons: 2
Source: RefSeq, a predicted model, not a curated record